UACGUAGGGGGCGAGCGUUGUCCGGAUUUAUUGGGCGUAAAGAGCUCGUAGGCGGUUUGUCGCGUCGGCUGUGAAAACCUGGGGCUUAACUCCGGGCCUGCAGCCGAUACGGGCAGACUAGAGUUCGGCAGGGGAGACUGGAAUUCCUGGUGUAGCGGUGAAAUGCGCAGAUAUCAGGAGGAACACCGGUGGCGAAGGCGGGUCUCUGGGCCGAUACUGACGCUGAGGAGCGAAAGCGUGGGGAGCGAACAGG
This 253-nucleotide ribosomal RNA is filed under the name uncultured bacterium. RNAcentral describes it as "partial 16S ribosomal RNA". It matches the Rfam family "Bacterial small subunit ribosomal RNA", at positions 524 to 776 of the family's 1533-position model. The record is from RNAcentral.